AACGAACGCUGGCGGCAGGCUUAACACAUGCAAGUCGAACGCCCGUAGCAAUACGGGAGUGGCGGACGGGUGAGUAACGCAUGGGAACGUACCCUGAGGUACGGAAUAACCGAGGGAAACUUCGGCUAAUACCGUAUGAGCCCCGCAAGGGGGAAAGAUUUAUCGCCUUGGGAGCGGCCCGCGUCGGAUUAGCUAGUUGGUGGGGUAACGGCCUACCAAGGCUUCGAUCCGUAGCUGGUCUGAGAGGACGAUCAGCCACACUGGGACUGAGACACGGCCCAGACUCCUACGGGAGGCAGCAGUGGGGAAUCUUGCGCAAUGGGGGCAACCCUGACGCAGCCAUGCCGCGUGAACGAUGAAGGCCUUAGGGUUGUAAAGUUCUUUUACCCGUGACGAUGAUGACGGUAACGGGGGAAUAAGCUCCGGCUAACUUCGUG
This 437-nucleotide ribosomal RNA is filed under the name uncultured bacterium. Its description in RNAcentral is "bacterial SSU rRNA". It matches the Rfam family "Bacterial small subunit ribosomal RNA", at positions 29 to 507 of the family's 1533-position model. The record is from RNAcentral.